Molecule: RNA transcript, 2720 nt
Organism: Triticum dicoccoides
Lineage: Eukaryota; Viridiplantae; Streptophyta; Magnoliopsida; Poales; Poaceae
Exons: 4
Source: RefSeq, a predicted model, not a curated record
UAGCCGCCUAUCUCCGUUCCCUCUCUCUGCUCUCACGUCUCUCUCUCCCUCGCCUCUCUCGCGCCGCCGUCGACAUGAGGAGCGCAAAGCGCCGUCCCGCCUUGACUACCGCCCUCUCCCACACGUCCUCCUCCCUGCUCCCAUUCCUCCCUCGUGGGAACCCUAGCCGCCGCGCUCUCCCACUCGUCCUCCUCCCUGCUCCCCUUCCUGGCGGCGCUCCCGACCGCCGUGCGACGUCUUCUCCUCCCCACCGUCGAACUCAGGCCGCCGCUCCGUCCCGCGUCCCCGUCGCACCUUCCCUCGAGCCGCCGCUCCGCUCCGCAUCCCCUCGCACCUCCCCUGCUGCCCGAGCCCCAAGGGCGGUGGAUCCCUUUAUUGGGGUGGACUACGGCGCUCGUAUCUCCCGCGCCGGCGCUUCCCCGUCGAGCUCGCGUGUCACGUCGUCGGGGGGAGGGAAGUUGGCGCUGCUCUUCUCGAAGGAGUGCGUCGUCGCGCCGCCGACGGGAGGAGGCCAAGCGGGACGACGGGAGGAGGUCAGGCAGAGCGCCAUCGCCACCGGUUGGCGCGUCGACGGGAGGAGGCAAGGCGGUGCCCGUCGUUGCCACCAGUUGCGCCCUACGCGGCCGAAGAGCACCAGCCGCAGGCGCUCGAUGCAGGUGAGUGCAACGCAGCAGCGGCAGAAGCUGUUGCGAGGAACUCCGGCCACACCUGCGCUCCCUCAGACCCAACCACAACAGUUGGUUGAUUUAUCCCGAUCUACUUAGCCGAUUUCAUUGCAGGGUUACUCUUGCCUUUUAUAUUUUGACCUUCUUUGUGCUUCAAUUAUCCAGGUUCAGCCCCUUUCCCUUUUCUGUUCGUCUAUUUUGUCCAUAUGAUCUAUGUGUACGGUCUGUACAUACCCAUGGAUGUAGUACGUGUAUGGUUCUCAUCAUAGAUGUUUACUAUGGUGCCUACUACUUUUCACAGAUAUAGGGCUGAUAUUUGCUUACAAAAAAGGGCAAUGGCUCUGAAUCAAUCAUAUGCUCUCUACUACAUGUAUGUGAAAUUGCGGUUUGGAUUUCUGAUGUCUGGACAUUAACUCUUGCAGGGUGUGUGAGAACAUCUCCAUUGUCCUCUGCAGUAGUAAGGUUUCUGUGAAGAACCGGCAGGUUAAAGCCAAGAGCAACUACAACUAGGAGAAGCCCUUCCUUCAUCUUGCAAGGAAGUUGGCUGGCAAUUGUCUCCCUCCCCAUUGCUUUCAUUUGCCUGUGGCCUCACAUCAUAUAUAUAUUUUAAUGUUCUGGUUCAAUAAACACAUGGAUUGGCGAUUUGCCUUUGAUUCAACUUGUGCAGGCACAAAGCUGAGCCUGUGGCGCGGCUACUGCCUGAUGACCAUGACAAUCUGACCGAGUAGAUCGAUCAAUCAUGAGUUUUAUCAUACUUUGAGCCAAAUCUUCACGCUUUUUUCUUUUAUUUGGUUAUACUGUGUAAAUAGGAAUCAAUAAUAAAAGUAGAUGGUGCAAAGUUGUGCUCCCUAGCUUCUCUGGUGUAGCAAGUUAAUAUAUAUCUUCAUUUAUGUAGCAUCUCUGGUGUUCCAUUAUGUUCAGCUAUGUAUGUUCAUUUGGUCCCUUAGUUACUCCCUCGGCCCUCUUGGCUGCCACCGAAUGGAUUUUUAUAUUUUUGUAUAUCUUCAUGGUCCUAUGCUCCAUAUAGGCUUUUCUAUGUAUUAAAAAAAAAUCAGCUGCAUGAAAGUGAUACAUAUAUGUGAUGAUCUCUGACUUGACCUGUGCUGGGUUUACUCCUGCAGCAGUCGGUAUCCAGUAUAGCGGGUUUUGGGACGUGGGGUGGAGUAGCUACGACGGGGAGGGGCCCUGCGAUGACCUUGAUGCCUGCUACCGCUACCACCAGCAUCAAGUCAGAAAAGGAAGGGCUGCGGGCUAGACUGAGAGGGCGAGACUGGGGAGGCUGAGUAGGAGACCAGAUAGCGGUGAUGUCGAGGUGGAAGUAGCCAUGAUCCCUGGAGAUGUUCCUCAAGAUUCAUAUUUAUCUGUGCCUAUAUGGUGUUGCGUGAAAAUGCAAGCGGGCCGCAAGGUGCUGGUGCUUGGAUCUCGGUUGCACUGGUGAGCCAUCACUUCUCUCCACCAUCCUCUUCACAAUUAUGGCCAAUUGAGCCCAGAGUUGCUAUACCACCAUUCUUGGCUAUGACGCUCAGCUUCUUGUUGACAGUCAACAUCCGACAAGUGGAGCACCCGACCAUAGGAGACGGAAGAGGAGGCGAGCUAUCCACAGUAUUGUCCUCUCCCCGCGUAGCCACCUACAUACACUGUCCACAAGUUGUAUCAACCUCCAUGUCCUCCACUUCCCCCGCCAGGUGGAAGCAGCACCAUCGACAUUCAUGCCGUUUUCAUCCUUUGCAUCAAGAAUACGUCAUCCUCAUGUUGGCUCUGUGGGAGCCGAUGGGAUUACCAUGACACAUGCCAAUGUUUUGAUAGUUUAGCAAGUGGAAUUUUCUGAUGAUGUGGUUAUGUCAUGUGCUAGCAGAUAUAAAUAUUUAGUGAUAUAUGCUGGUUCAGGAAAUUGACGUUUGCUUCAACAUCUGGCUAGGUUAUGCUUUUAGGAGAUAAAUGUUCUUCUGUCAUUUUAGUUUCAAGUGCUUUUGAUUGAUAAUGUAAGGAUGUGUACAUAUAGUAAAGUUUUCUAUUACUAAUUGGUUGAGUGAUGCAAAUUAGUGAUUUUGCUCU